This 491-nucleotide unclassified non-coding RNA is filed under the name Hevea brasiliensis (rubber tree). The record is from RNAcentral. Lineage: Eukaryota; Viridiplantae; Streptophyta; Magnoliopsida; Malpighiales; Euphorbiaceae.
UUUUUUUAGUUUUCGUUUCUUCUUUCUCUUAUUAGAUUUAAGCACAACAAGAACAUAAACAACUAUGAUGCAGGCUAUCUCCCCUCCAUCUCCCCUCAAGUUAUUAGUCCCAACUCGGCCUCGACUCGCUCCAGUCACCCCCAAUAAACUCAUUCUUCAUUGCAUCUAUCGAUCGGAUUCUGUCCAAUUGCCUAAUGGAGUUGGCUCCAGUCGAGCUGAUUGGCAAAGCUCUUGCGCCAUAUUAGCGAGCAAAGUCGUUUCCCAAGAGCAACCUACUGAUAAAUCUAGUGAAGAUUCACGUGGUGCUGAUCAUGUUGCUGCUGUGAACGGGCACAAGGCCUCUAUUGAUCUUGGUUUAGUCCCUCUUAACAAAGGUUCUAGUGAUGGCCACUCCAAUAACAAAAAGCCAACGAAGUCGUUAAGUAUCACCGACCUCUCACCGGCUCCUAUGCACGGCUCUCAGCUCCGUGUUGCUUAUCAAGGGGUUCCCG